RNAcentral lists this transfer RNA (74 nucleotides) under Cenarchaeum symbiosum A. Its description in RNAcentral is "tRNA-Gly (CCC) (tRNA-Gly-CCC-1-1)". It matches the Rfam family "tRNA". From Rfam's summary of the family: Transfer RNA (tRNA) molecules are approximately 80 nucleotides in length. Their secondary structure includes four short double-helical elements and three loops (D, anti-codon, and T loops). The record is from Rfam by way of RNAcentral. Lineage: Archaea; Thermoproteati; Nitrososphaerota; Candidatus Cenarchaeales; Candidatus Cenarchaeaceae. RNAcentral also lists the same sequence under 1 other name.
GCGGAGUUAGUCCAGCCCGGUAGGACGUCAGCUUCCCAAGCUGAAGGUCGCGUGUUCAAAUCCCGCACUCCGCA